Long non-coding RNA from Macaca fascicularis (crab-eating macaque), 3342 nucleotides. The record is from Ensembl. Lineage: Eukaryota; Metazoa; Chordata; Mammalia; Primates; Cercopithecidae.
AUGCCCUCGGGGUUCUGUUUUCAUUCCAGGCUGUGGAUCCGGUCGUGGGAAGCAGAUGCAGCUCUUGAAGGAGUCAAGGAAGAGACCAGCCUGAGGAAUGAGAAUGCAGGCACGUGUGCUGGAGUGGACCUGAGUCUGAACAGCUCUGGCUUUGCUUCAUUUCUCCUUCUUGCCAGUAGAUCAGGAAUUCCUGCUGCUUUCAAGAAAACCAUCAGUAGCAUAUGGUGCUAUUGGAAUCACCGCCCACCAGUGGGCAGAAGAAAGCUGGGGUCACAGGCUAAUUUCCCCAGGCAGGUGGCCUGGGUUGAAUUCCACGCCCGCCACUGUACGCUAAUCUGCCCCACUUUAGGCAUGUUAUUUAACCUCUGUCCUUGGAGUCCUAUGCAGCAAAAUGGGGAUGAGAGUGCCUACCCCAUAAAGGGUUUUCUGAAAAUUAAUUAAUAUUGUAGAAAAAUGCUUAGAACCGUGUCUGAUGUACAUGCUAUAUAUGUUAAAUAUUUAACUGACCGUUAAGGCCAGGCACAUUGGCAAAGUAACCUUAAAUCCAAAAACAGCAGACCAACUGUAAGGAAAGAGCUAACUGGAAAUUUUUGUAAGUCUGUUUGCUGAGGAAGCCUUUUCUAGAUUUUUUUUUUUUUUUUUGAAACAGAGUCUCGCUGUGUCACCCAGGCUGGAGGGCAGUGAUGCGAUCUUGGCUCACUGCACCUCUGCCUCCUGGGUUCAAGCGAUUCUACUGCCUCAACUUCCUGAGUAGCUGGGAUAACAGGCACAUGCCACCACACUGGGCUAAUUUUUGUAUUUUUAGUAGAGACGGGGUUUCACCAUGUUGGUCAACCUGGUCUCGAACUCCUGACCUCAGGUGAUCCACCCACCUCAGCCUCCCAAAGUGCUGCGAUUACAGGCAUAAGCCACCGUGCCUGGUGCCUUUUCCAGAUUUGAAGUUGUAGGGAGAGCUGAGGAUAUUCACAGGGCAAGGGCUUGAGGUAGAGAGAUGAAGACUUGGGUCUGCUAAAGCAAGGUCAUUCCCUGUGGAUUCUAGUUCUUCAGAUGGAUAGAAUGAGGUCAAAAAUAAAGCUCUCACCCAAGUAGGAGGGAAAAAAUGCUCUCAAGGAUUGCCAGACUAAAAGUUUCAGAGUUGAAAAGGGCAUUUCAAGCUAUAAGCAGCCAGCCAAGAGCUAGGCACAGGGUGUCUCAGUUCUUGGCAUUGCUGGGCCAGCAUCUAUACUUAGGGAAAAUCCACAUGGAAGGACCCCUUCUCCUCUCUCCAGGAAAACACUCAGCUCAAUGACAGCUGGGUCCAAAGCAGGGGCCUAGCAAGUACUUGUCUGGGCCUCUGGUGCUGGAGUCAAAGGAGGUCCCGAACCAGCCUUGGGAUUCCAGCAGGGACUUUACCCCAUGUUCAGGAGGGGAAUCUUCAGGUCUCCCUCAAAGACCCUCUGUGGGCAGCUCCUCCACCAUCUCCUUGCUGCUGUUCAAAUUCUCACUUUUUGUGUGUGCCACUUUUAAUUUGUGAAGGCAUUGUCACGUCUGCUAGCUCACCUGAUCCGCGCCCCCAUAUCUUCAGAGGAUACGGAAAAGUGCUAUUAGAACAUCUGACAGUCAAGGAAGCAGAGACUCAAAUGGUUAAUGUCAAGCCCAGGACCACAGAGCUAUUAGCAGAGACUUACGCCUGCGCCUCUGACCCUGGCCUGGGCUCUUCACAUUACACUCUGCCACACUCCCUCUCCUGUGUGAGGGCUCCCCCAGGAAAAGAGGAAAGACAGGAGUUAUUCUAGGCAAAGUAACCUUAAAUCUGAAAGCAGAAGAUGAAUUGUAAGGAAGUGCAGCUCCAGGACGUGUUCCCCUAUCUUCCCAUCAGACCUCAGCCAGCAGCCAUGGACACAGGCCUCUCUUUCCUCCCCACCCUGCUUCCCAUUCUGGGGUAGGUCCCUCCCAGCCCAUUAUGGCUGGGACGUGCAGCAUCUUUUUUCUCUGCUUAUCCAGAACCAGCUGGUUCUGCUCAACUCCCAGAGAUGAUUUUCUAAGAACCCCAACACUUCUAUCUGCCCGGGCUGCCAGAAAGAGAAAGGGCACCCCCAGAGACACUGAAGACUCAGAGACUCCAGAAGCCGCCAGCACUUUCUAUGAUGUGACUGGCUCUGGGUGCUCCUUGUCUUGUGAAAGGGGCUGGCUCAAAUGGCACAGAUAUUGAAGAUCUUCCUGAAGAAGACAGGAAGAGAUGCUCAGGUCGGGGAGGGAAUGAGACCCCCUGAGGAAGGGACUCCUCCCAGCUGAGGAGUUGAUUAGAAGCAGCCUUGGAGUUGGCAGGAGCCUUAGAGACUGCCUGAGCCAGUCCAGGAAGCUGGCUGAGGAGCUUGGGAGCAAGAGACUAAAACCAGCCAAGUUUGGGACAGAAGGGAAGGAAAGGGUUGAGCAGUGAACAGAAAGACAAAGAACAGGCAGUUCCAAAGAGCCAAGAAUGCAAAUCAUUUGCAGACACCGCUAGCAAGAGCCUCCACCAAGGCUGCUGUGGGGGUGCCUGACGCUGUGGGCACAACCACUUCUACACGUCAUGGUGAGCGUGAGCCCGUGUGUGAGCGUCCCCGCUGAGUCAUCCGAUGUGUGUAAUGAUUGUGUCAGUUGUGAGUCACCAACUGUGUGUCAGUCGGGGCGGGGUGUGUGUGUGUGCUCAGUGCACAAGCACGUGAGGGCUGCCUGUGCCCAGAGUGACAGUGGAAUGUGAAUGAGAGCCAGAGAACCCGAGGAGCUCAGAGCACUCCCAGGGGGAAGCUGUGUUUAAAGGGCACCACGCUUCAUUCACACCGUACAUCACACACCACAUUUCUGAACACGUUCCAGAGAAAGCCAUCUGUGCCUGCUUCCUGCUGAAACCCCCUAUGGAGCAGCAGUGCUGAAUUCUUCAGGCUCAUGGGGUUGUUAUCAGAGUCAGAUAUGGCCACAAUCUUAGAAUCCUGCAUUUCAAGCCCUUCAUUUUGCAGAGGGAGGAACUGUGGCAGAGAAAACUGACACAAUGGUCUCAGAGUCACAGAGCUAGCUGGUAGAAAAGCCAGGUGGGGGCCCAGGUGUCUGUCCAGACUUCCCUGCCCAGGACUCGGUAUGUCAGCACAGAGUGGGUCCUUUUUCCUUUUUUCAGCAGGGAUGUGAUGACAUCACUUCUUUUAACUAAAAUGCACCCAGAUCCUUCCAUGAAAUGACACCCUGAUGUCGCGUCCUAAAGGCUGGAUUUGAUGAAUAGCCCAAAAGGCAAAGUUGGGGCAUCUCUAGCCAGACGGUUCUAGACCAAGAGUCAUUUGACCUAUUUUCCCAGAGCCUUGCCCCACCCAGGUCAGGAGGAGUCCACAG